UUGAGGAAAGAAUGGAAGGAAAGGGAUUGAUUAUAAGAGGUUGGUCACCACAAACAUUGAUUCUUGAGCAUGAAGCAAUUGGUGCAUUUGUGACACACUGUGGUUGGAACUCAACUUUAGAAGGAGUGUGUGCUGGUGUGCCUAUGGUUACUUGGCCUGUGGCUGCUGAGCAGUUUUAUAAUGAGAAGUUGGUGACUGAGGUGCUUAAGAUUGGUGUACCUGUUGGAGUUAAAAAAUGGGUUCGAUUGUUUGGAGAUAAGAUUGAAAGUGAUGCAGUGGAGAAAGGUGUGAAGAAGGUUAUGGAAGGAGAAGAAAUGAGGAAUAGGGUGAAAGUGCUUGCACACAAUGCAAAGAAAGCUGUGGAAGAAGGUGGAUCUUCUUACUCUCAAUUGAAUGCUUUACUUGAGGACUUGAGUUCAUUUAGAAAAUGAUUAGUGGAUAACAUCUAAAAUCUAAUAUAGUUGGGAUACUGUUUACAGUUUUUAAAUAAAUUUCUUUCUUUGAAUGAUAUUUAUUUAGAGCAAGGCUAUAUUGACACAACUUUUAUAUUGAUAUGACUUUUGUAUUUGCAUACAUAUCAUUUUUCAUAUUGAGAACAAUAUAUAUUUUUUAAUAUAAAUAUAAAAACUUAAAAAUAUAUAGAUUAUUUAUAAUAAAAUAUUUUUUUUACAAAAUAUAAACAAUUUUUUUAACUAAUCUUUUAUAUUUUAUUAAUCAAUUUUAUUUUACUACUUAAACUAUUUCUUUAUGUUAUGCAUACUCAUUAAUCAAAUUAUGAAAUAUAUUAACCGUCUUUUUAUACUAUAUUAAUCAAAUUUGUUUCACCAUUUAAAAUUACUUUUUAAUGCCAUGAUACAUAUUAAUUGUUUCGUUCGAGAAUCAGAAAUGGAUGUUCUAAUUCCAUGAAGGGACUUGAAAUGACGAGAGUUGGAUAUCUGCUGAUCUUGAACGGUGGCUUUGAUCUUCGUGAUGGUGGUGGCGUGUAGUGGAUCUGCAUGGCUAGCAUUUCAACGUCCAAGUCAGUUCAAGAUCAAUAUGAGUAUAGUGAAAUUGGAGAUCAAAGACUAUGUAUCUUCCCAAAGCAUGUGAACUAUUUUUAUAUUUGGAUCGAGUAGAAUGGACUUGAGACAUAAGGUAUUUGGCCAAUACAAAACAAUUUCCCCCAAGGCUUGAUCGAGCACUGAAAGAGUUGUGGUGAGCCCUAAAUAUCAUUUAUCGGCCACCGUGUCAUAGUCGCGUGUGAAGUAGAACUGAAUCGCCUGGGAUCAUUUUUCUGAAGAAGUAAUGGGGAACGGGUAAAUUUAAUACGGUCCCAUUGAUAAAAUGCUUCGUCACCCAUUCCUGGAGUGUGCAGUAAUGUGACAAGUUAGUGGGUGACGCAGUUUUAGAGUACUUGAGUGCAUUCAUAUUGGCGUAUAUCCAUAAGUGGAAAUCUAGUUGUUGAUCUUGUGAUCCUUGUUCGUAGUUGAUUUUGAUCUUUCAGCUAUCAUUGCUUAUAAAUGGGGCGAAUUGGAUAUUUUGUUCCCUUUUCCUAAGAAUACCACUAAGAGUGAUUCAGAGCUUCUCUUAAAGCUUUCUCCUUUUUCAUUCCUCCCGCUUCGUCAAUCUCUUUUAAUUAGGUACCUUUCUAACUCAAGCUUUCUCCUUCAAUAUUUCCUGCUUUUUAGUUAGGAUGAGUGGCAAAACUAUUGAUUUAGUGAGAGAUUCUGAAGUGAAAACUUCAUCUGGGUCAUCCUAUGAUUCUCAUUGUCCUUCCCACAAUAGUGAUCACGUUAGACUGGAAAUUAUAUCUAUAUCUGACGACUCUAGGUUAGAAGUGAUGUCUGGAUUUUCCUUGUGGGAAAAAACUUCUUCUUCCGGGUCAUUAUACACCUUUAUAUCAAAUGUAGGAAGAAUAAUAAAUCAAGCUGAGGUCCUAUUACUUCUUUCCAUGAACCUUAUAAAAAGGUUUCUUCUAAUACAUAAUUAUUCUUGAUUCUUGAUUCUUGAUCUUCCUAGUAAUAUUAAAAUGAAAAUUUUGCAAAUGCCAAGUCCAGGCACCAAAGAGGAUUCCGUUGCGGAUUUAUUUAGAGAAAUAAAAUAAUCAGAAGAGAAGAGCUAUGAAGUUAUUGUUAAUACCUUCUAUGAACUUGAGGGUGUUUAUGCUUAUUUCUAUAGCGAGGUACCCAAAAUAAAAAACAGGCAUAUAGGUCCAUUUUCAGUUCAUAAUAGAGAUAAGGAGGAUGAAAUAACAUCAUACUGUGGAAAAGAAGCAAUUAUUGACAAACAUGAGUGUCAAAAAUGGAUUGACACAAAAGAUGUCAACUCAUUUGUUUACGUGUGCUUUGAAAGUACAACAUGCUUUCUUGACUCUCAACUUAAAGAAAUUGCUAUAGGACUUGAAGCAUUGGAAAAAUAUUUUAUUUAGGUUGUGAGGAGAAAAAAAAAGUGGAAAAAUGGCUACCAGAAGGAUUUGAGGAAAGAAUGGAAGGAAAGUGAUUGAUUAUAUAAGGUUGGUCACCACAAACAUUGAUUCUUAAGCAUGAAGCAAUUGGUGAAUUUGUGACUCACUGUGGAUGGAACUCAACUUUAGAAGGAGUCUGUUUUGGUGUGCCUAUUAUUACUUUGCCUGUGGCUGCUGAUCAGUUUUAUAAUGAGAAGUUGGUGACUGAAGUGUUUAAGAUUGGUGUACAUGUUGGAGUUAAUAAUUGGUUUGAUUGUUGUUGAAUAAAAGGUAAUGUGACAAGUUUAACAUAAUUGUUAUUGUUGAAUAAAAGGUAAUGUUACAAGUUUAACACAAUUGUUGUUGUUGACAGUAAUAUGCAAUGUUAAGUUGAACAAGUUUAGUAUUUAUGACAGACAUGUAAUGUUCAUCAUUACAUUUAUGACAUGCCUAUAAUGUUCAGCGUUAUAUUUAACAAGUUUAAACCUUGAACAAAAUAAUAGGUAUGAAUGUAAUGUUUGUAUGUUUAUGACAGACCUGUAAUGUUCACAAUACAAUGUAUUUUAUUUAGGUUGUGAGGAGAAAGAAAGAAGAAGUAGAAAAAUGGCUACCAGAAGGAUUUGAGGAAAGAAUGGAAGGAAAGGGAUUGAUUAUAAGAGGUUGGUCACCACAAACAUUGAUUCUUGAGCAUGAAGCAAUUGGUGCAUUUGUGACUUACUGCGGAUGGAACUCAACUUUAGAAGGAGUCUGUUUUGGUGUGCCUAUGAUUACUUGGCCUGUGACUGCUGAUCAGUUUUAUAAUGAGAAGUUGGUGACUGAAGUGUUUAAGAUUGGUGUACCUGUUGGAGUUAAAAAAUG
This 3280-nucleotide long non-coding RNA is filed under the name Lathyrus oleraceus (garden pea). Its description in RNAcentral is "Pisum sativum (pea) long non-coding RNA (PSAT_LNC029243)". The record is from RNAcentral. Lineage: Eukaryota; Viridiplantae; Streptophyta; Magnoliopsida; Fabales; Fabaceae.